Non-coding RNA from Gasterosteus aculeatus aculeatus (three-spined stickleback), 1150 nucleotides. NCBI's taxonomy places the organism in Eukaryota, Metazoa, Chordata, Actinopteri, Perciformes, Gasterosteidae. The record is from RefSeq and is a predicted model, not a curated record.
UGUCAGCUAUCAGGCUGAUAACUGAUCUGUCUACUUACCCCGAACAUUAAAUUAGUUUGAAUAUAGAUGUUCUUUACAUUCUGCCCUUUUCGAUGCUCCUUUUCUCUUCUCAUUUAAGUACCAGGAGGAGCUCUUCUUUCUGAGGGUGAACAAGAUCCUCUGAUUCCUCCACCUCGCGGUGCCUUUUGGAGAGUGACUUCUUUGUUGCUGCUGGCUGAAUGAUUGCUCAUUCGUUCCUCCAUGAUGGGCCGGGCCUUGGAGGACUCAGCCCAGCUGUUCUGCAUGUGCUCUUUGGUGGAAGCCCAGAAGAAGUCAUGAUGAAAAUAUCAAGGACUGUGCUGACCUCGAUAUCCGCAAGACAGUCAAAGUGGUAAUGUACAUUUUUACAGAAAGAUUGGAAUGAUACCGAUUUGGGGCAAGUAAUACCUGAUGUCAGAUAUAUAACACUAAAAUCACACUGUUUGCUCAUUUAAACCAGCGUGCUGAAGCAAUAUUUAAAGCAUGUAAUUAUAGUGACUGAUAAUUAAGUAAAAUGUGUUUUUUGAGGAUGUGAUGAGAAAUGAGAUUAUUUUACAUGUGGUUUAAGAUCUCAGGCUGUUGUCAGCCGUGUAAUUGAAGGUUAUUGACAAGUUGUUCUAUCGCAAUUUAUUCUAUAGAUUCUGAAUAUAAUGCAAAUCUUGAGAAAUGAGACAAUCUAUUCUAAUGGUCCUUAUUAGCUGGAGGGUACAGAAGAAUUGUCAUCUGAAGGAAAGAACAAUACUAAUGAGUUGUCACUGUCUUGGGAUUUGCCUCAAGUCACAUGUGAGAACAGAAGAUGCUGCUGGACAAGCUGAUGCUCCACGCAGUACUUGGAAGAAGCUCAAGACGGGUUAAACAGUUACGAAGGGGCUUAAAAGAGACGCUGAUCUGGCCUUUGCUAACUGAGAGGAAAGACACAAUUCCCCUCCUCUUUCCAAGAGCAUGUGAUGUACAGCGCACACCACAGCAUCUGUCAGCAUCCUUGGGAAACUCCUACAGUUGUGGAUAGGAUGGAAUGUGCUCCCCAGACACCAGCUGGAUAUCAGCGUGGUGGAGAGCAACUUCUCCACUUCCUCCACCUGCUUCCACCAGCUGAAGCUUCCAGUACAAAGACUACUGCCACUCUGAAAUG